This 373-nucleotide ribosomal RNA is filed under the name uncultured organism. Its description in RNAcentral is "bacterial SSU rRNA". It matches the Rfam family "Bacterial small subunit ribosomal RNA", at positions 526 to 896 of the family's 1533-position model. The record is from RNAcentral.
CGUAGGGACCGAGCGUUGUCCGGAUUCAUUGGGCGUAAAGAGCUCGUAGGCGGCUGCUCAAGUCGAAUGUGAAACCUCGAGGCUUAACCUCGAGCUUGCAUUCGAUACUGGGCGGCUAGAGUCUGGUAGGGGGAUCUGGAAUUCCUGGUGUAGCGGUGGAAUGCGCAGAUAUCAGGAGGAACACCGGUGGCGAAGGCGGGAUCCUGGGCCAGUACUGACGCUGAGGAGCGAAAGCGUGGGGAGCAAACAGGAUUAGAUACCCUGGUAGUCCACGCCGUAAACGAUGGGCGCUAGGUGUGGGAGGUCAUCGACUCCUUCCGUGCCGCAGCUAACGCAUUAAGCGCCCCGCCUGGGGAGUACGGCCGCAAGGCUA